GGUGUUCAUAGCUCAGUUGGUGGAGCACUGCACCGCUGACGCAGAGGCCAUGGGUUCGAAUCCCGUUGAAGCCC
This 74-nucleotide transfer RNA is filed under the name Acropora cervicornis. RNAcentral's name for it is "tRNA-Ser". It matches the Rfam family "tRNA". Rfam says of the family: Transfer RNA (tRNA) molecules are approximately 80 nucleotides in length. Lineage: Eukaryota; Metazoa; Cnidaria; Anthozoa; Scleractinia; Acroporidae. The record is from RNAcentral.